GAUGAAGAACGCAGCGAAAUGCGAUAAGUAAUGUGAAUUGCAGAAUUCAGUGAAUCAUCGAAUCUUUGAACGCACAUUGCGCCCCUUGGUAUUCCGAGGGGCAUGCUUGUUCGAGCGUCAUUAUAACCCCUCAAGCUCAGCUUGGUGUUGGGGCCUGCUGCACUGGCAGCCCUUAAAAUCAGUGGCGGCGCCAUCUGGCUCUAAGCGUAGUAAUUCUUCUCGCUAUGGAGUCCUGGUGGAUGCUUGCCAUCAACCCCCAAUUUUUCUAUGGUUGACCUCGGAUCAGGUAGGGAUACCCGCUGAACUUAAGCAUAUCAAUAAGCGGAGGA
Molecule: unclassified non-coding RNA, 329 nt
Filed under: soil metagenome
Description: partial contains 5.8S ribosomal RNA, internal transcribed spacer 2, and large subunit ribosomal RNA
Rfam family: 5.8S ribosomal RNA (bases 1-120)
Source: RNAcentral